This 497-nucleotide ribosomal RNA is filed under the name uncultured bacterium. RNAcentral describes it as "partial 16S ribosomal RNA". It matches the Rfam family "Bacterial small subunit ribosomal RNA", at positions 28 to 507 of the family's 1533-position model. The record is from RNAcentral.
GAUGAACGCUGGCGGCGUGCCUAAUACAUGCAAGUCGAGCGAACGGACGAGAAGUUUGCUUUUCUGAUGUUAGCGGCGGACGGGUGAGUAACACGUGGAUAACCUACCUAUAAGACUGGGAUAACUUCGGGAAACCGGAGCUAAUACCGGAUAAUAUUUUGAACCGCAUGGUUCAAAAGUGAAAGACGGUCUUGCUGUCACUUAUAGAUGGAUCCGCGCCGCAUUAGCUAGUUGGUAAGGUAACGGCUUACCAAGGCAACGAUGCAUAGCCGGCCUGAGAGGGUGCUCCGCCACACUGGAGCUGAGGCACGGUCCAGACUCCUACGGGAGGCAGCAGUGGGGAAUCUUCCGCAAUGGGGGAAAGCCUGACGGAGCAACGCCGCGUGUGUGAUGAAGGUCUUCGGGUCGUAAAACUCUGUUAUUAGGGAAGAACGUAUGUGUAAGUGACUAUGCACGUCUUGACGGUACCUAAUCAGAAAGCCACGGCUAACUACGUG